Molecule: ribosomal RNA, 766 nt
Filed under: uncultured Streptococcus sp.
Lineage: Bacteria; Bacillati; Bacillota; Bacilli; Lactobacillales; Streptococcaceae
Description: bacterial SSU rRNA
Rfam family: Bacterial small subunit ribosomal RNA
Source: RNAcentral
GACGAACGCUGGCGGCGUGCCUAAUACAUGCAAGUAGAACGCUGAAGAGAGGAGCUUGCUCUUCUUGGAUGAGUUGCGAACGGGUGAGUAACGCGUAGGUAACCUGCCUUGUAGCGGGGGAUAACUAUUGGAAACGAUAGCUAAUACCGCAUAACAAUGGAUGACUCAUGUCAUUUAUUUGAAAGGGGCAAAUGCUCCACUACAAGAUGGACCUGCGUUGUAUUAGCUAGUAGGUGAGGUAACGGCUCACCUAGGCGACGAUACAUAGCCGACCUGAGAGGGUGAUCGGCCACACUGGGACUGAGACACGGCCCAGACUCCUACGGGAGGCAGCAGUAGGGAAUCUUCGGCAAUGGGGGCAACCCUGACCGAGCAACGCUGCGUGAGUGAAGAAGGUUUUCGGAUCGUAAAGCUCUGUUGUAAGUCAAGAACGAGUGUGAGAGUGGAAAGUUCACACUGUGACGGUAGCUUACCAGAAAGGGACGGCUAACUACGUGCCAGCAGCCGCGGUAAUACGUAGGUCCCGAGCGUUGUCCGGAUUUAUUGGGCGUAAAGCGAGCGCAGGCGGUUUGAUAAGUCUGAAGUUAAAGGCUGUGGCUCAACCAUAGUUCGCUUUGGAAACUGUCAAGCUUGAGUGCAGAAGGGGGAGAGUGGAAUUCCAUGUGUAGCGGUGAAAUGCGUAGAUAUACGGAGGGACACCGGUGGCGAAAGCGGCUCUCUGGUCUGUAACUGACGCUGAGGCUCGAAAGCGUGGGGAGCGAACAGG